AACUCUUUAUCGUAUAGCGGUAAAACUUAACGUUUCUUAUGCAUCGAUUUUGUUCGAAGAAAUUCCUGUAAGAAAUUAAAUAACUAAGAAGGUUAAAAAAUGGUCCCAAAGAAACUUCAUGUAGUGGGCAAAGGCGCUGCUAUAGUUUUUGGAGGAUUUCUGACUCUGAAUCUUGCUGCUACUGUUGCCAUUGGUGCAUUUCGCUCUGUAGCUGAAAGGAAACGGGAAAAAAUUGCCUUGCCUUGUGGGAUUUGUAAAGGGAAAUGAUUUUACUUAUUCAAGCUAUGCAAUGGAAAUGCUACAAUAAAGUGGUCACCUUUGUAUGAUCCUAUUCAUAUUAACCCUUGUGUUUGCCCUACUUGUGACGGUAACAGGGUGCAGCGCUGCCUAAACUGUCUUGGCAAAGGUUAUAGUUGACUACUACUUGACUUGUAAGAGUUUUAAUUGUGAAUUUGUGAUUACUUUAUGCUUUUCUAUCCCAUUUUGUAAGUGAAU
Molecule: long non-coding RNA, 495 nt
Organism: Hibiscus syriacus
Lineage: Eukaryota; Viridiplantae; Streptophyta; Magnoliopsida; Malvales; Malvaceae
Exons: 3
Source: RefSeq, a predicted model, not a curated record